UAGUGGCGGAAGGGUUAGUAAUACAUGGAUAAUCUGCCCUUUACUUUGGGAUAACAGUUGGAAACGACUGCUAAUACCGGAUGAGGUGGGGGUAAUUAAAUUUACCUUUAUCAAAGUGGGGGUUAAAGAGACCUUGCGGUUAAAGAGGGGCCCAUGGGAUAUCAGCUUGUUGGUGAGGUAAUGGCUCACCAAGGCUAAGACGUCUAGGCGGAUUGAGAGGUCGACCGCCAACACUGGGACUGAGACACUGCCCAGACUCCUACGGGAGGCUGCAGUCGAGAAUCAUUCACAAUGGGCGAAAGCCUGAUGAUGCGACGCCGUGUGAGCGAAGAAGGCCUUAGGGUUGUAAAGCUCUUUCGCCAGGGAACAAGGGAGAUUGAUUAAUACUCAGUCAACUUGAGCGUACCUGGUAAAGAAGCACCGGCUAACUCCGUGCCAGCAGCUGCGGUAAUACGGAGGGUGCGAGCAUUAAUCGGAUUUACUGGGCGUAAAGAGCGCGUAGGCGGGAAUGAAAGUCAGAUGUGAAAGCCCGGAGCUCAACUCCGGAAUUGCAUCCGAAACUUCAUUUCUUGAGGACAGGCGGAGAAGGCGGAAUUCCACGUGUAGCGGUGAAAUGCGUAGAUACGUGGAAGAACACCGGUGGCGAAGGCGGCCUUCUAGCUUGUUCCUGACGCUGAGGCGCGAAAGCAAGGGGAGCAAACAGGAUUAGAUACCCUGGUAGUCCUUGCCGUAAACGAUGCAUACUUGGUGUAGGCGGAAUCAACCCCGCUUUUGCCGGAGCUAACGCGUUAAGUAUGCCGCCUGGGGAGUACGCUCGCAAGGGUGAAACUCAAAAGAAUUGACGGGGACCCGCACAAGCAGUGGAGCAUGUGGUUUAAUUCGAUGCAACGCGAAGAACCUUACCCAGAUUUGACAUAUAGUGGACCGCGCUAGAGAUAGCGUUUCUCGUAAGAGCUGCUAUACAGGUGCUGCAUGGCUGUCGUCAGCUCGUGCCGUGAGGUGUUGGGUUAAGUCCCGCAACGAGCGCAACCCUUAUCAUUAGUUGCCAGCACGUAAUGGUGGGAACUCUAGUGAGACUGCCUAGGUUAACUAGGAGGAAGGUGAGGAUGACGUCAAGUCAGCAUGGCCCUUAUGUCUGGGGCUACACACGUGCUACAAUGGUCGGUACAGAGGGCAGCGAAACCGCGAGGUCAAGCAAAUCUCAGAAAAUCGAUCUCAGUUCGGAUAGUAGUCUGCAACUCGACUACAUGAAGUUGGAAUUGCUAGUAAUGGCGUGUCAGCAAUAACGCCGUGAAUACGUUCCCGGGCCUUGUACACACCGCCCGUCACAUCAUGGAAGUUGGUUUUACCCGAA
RNAcentral lists this ribosomal RNA (1354 nucleotides) under uncultured prokaryote. Its description in RNAcentral is "partial 16S ribosomal RNA". It matches the Rfam family "Bacterial small subunit ribosomal RNA", at positions 93 to 1425 of the family's 1533-position model. The record is from RNAcentral.